CCCAGUUCGGAUUGUAGUCUGNAACCCGACUACAUGAAGCUGGAAUCGCUAGUAAUCGCAGGUCAGCAUACUGCGGUGAAUACGUUCCCGGGUCUUGUACACACCGCCCGUCACACCAUGGGAGCCGGAAAUGCCCGAAGCCAGUGACCCAACCUUAGGGUGGGAGCUGUCGAAGGUGGAGCCGGUAACUGGGGUGAAGUCGUAACAAGGUACC
This 214-nucleotide ribosomal RNA is filed under the name uncultured bacterium. RNAcentral describes it as "partial 16S ribosomal RNA". It matches the Rfam family "Bacterial small subunit ribosomal RNA", at positions 1287 to 1500 of the family's 1533-position model. The record is from RNAcentral.